GAUGAACGCUGGCGGCGUGCCUAAUACAUGCAAGUCGAGCGAACGGACGAGAAGCUUGCUUCUCUGAUGUUAGCGGCGGACGGGUGAGUAACACGUGGAUAACCUACCUAUAAGACUGGGAUAACUUCGGGAAACCGGAGCUAAUACCGGAUAAUAUUUUGAACCGCAUGGUUCAAAAGUGAAAGACGGUCUUGCUGUCACUUAUAGAUGGAUCCGCGCUGCAUUAGCUAGUUGGUAAGGUAACGGCUUACCAAGGCAACGAUGCAUAGCCGACCUGAGAGGGUGAUCGGCCACACUGGAACUGAGACACGGGCCAGACUCCUACGGGAGGCAGCAGUAGGGAAUCUUCCGCAAUGGGCGAAAGCCUGACGGAGCAACGCCGCGUGAGUGAUGAAGGUCUUCGGAUCGUAAAACUCUGUUAUUAGGGAAGAACAUAUGUGUAAGUAACUGUGCACAUCUUGACGGUACCUAAUCAGAAAGCCACGGCUAACUACGUGC
RNAcentral lists this ribosomal RNA (498 nucleotides) under uncultured bacterium. RNAcentral's name for it is "partial 16S ribosomal RNA". It matches the Rfam family "Bacterial small subunit ribosomal RNA", at positions 28 to 508 of the family's 1533-position model. The record is from RNAcentral.